AGGAUGAACGCUGGCGGCGUGCUUAACACAUGCAAGUCGAACGAUGAAGGCUGGAGCUUGCUCUGGCUGGAUUAGUGGCGAACAGGUGAGUAACACGUGAGUAACCUGCCCCAGACUCUGGGAUAAGCGCUGGAAACGGCGUCUAAUACCGGAUACGAGCUUCCACCGCAUGGUGAGGAGCUGGAAAGAAUUUCGGCUGGGAUGGACUCGCGGCCUAUCAGCUUGUUGGUGAGGUAAUGGCUCACCAAGGCGACGACGGGUAGCCGGCCUGAGAGGGUGACCGGCACACUGGGACUGAGACACGGCCCAGACUCCUACGGGAGCAGCAGUGGGGAAUAUUGCACAAUGGGCGCAAGCCUGAUGCAGCAACGCCGCGUGAGGACGAAGGCCUGGUGUAACUCUUUAGUAGGAAGAAGCGAGGUGUUAUCUACUUCAUGACGGUACCUAGCAGAAAAGCAACGGCUAACUACGUGCCACG
This 478-nucleotide ribosomal RNA is filed under the name uncultured soil bacterium. RNAcentral's name for it is "bacterial SSU rRNA". It matches the Rfam family "Bacterial small subunit ribosomal RNA", at positions 26 to 512 of the family's 1533-position model. The record is from RNAcentral.